Molecule: unclassified non-coding RNA, 348 nt
Filed under: soil metagenome
Description: partial contains 5.8S ribosomal RNA, internal transcribed spacer 2, and large subunit ribosomal RNA
Rfam family: 5.8S ribosomal RNA (bases 1-120)
Source: RNAcentral
GAUGAAGAACGCAGCGAAAUGCGAUAAGUAAUGUGAAUUGCAGAAUUCAGUGAAUAAUCGAAUCUUUGAACGCACAUUGCGCCCGCCAGUAUUCUGGCGGGCAUGCCUGUCUGAGCGUCAUUUCAACCCUCAUGCCCCUAGGGCGUGGUGUUGGGGAUCGGCCAAAGCCCGCGAGGGACGGCCGGCCCCUAAAUCUAGUGGCGGACCCGUCGUGGCCUCCUCUGCGAAGUAGUGAUAUUCCGCAUCGGAGAGCGAUGAGCCCCUGCCGUUAAACCCCCAACUUUCCAAGGUUGACCUCAGAUCAGGUAGGAAUACCCGCUGAACUUAAGCAUAUCAAUAAGCGGAGGA